Molecule: ribosomal RNA, 216 nt
Filed under: Glomeromycotina sp.
Lineage: Eukaryota; Fungi; Glomeromycota
Description: partial small subunit ribosomal RNA
Rfam family: Eukaryotic small subunit ribosomal RNA (bases 40-216)
Source: RNAcentral
GGGUCAGUAGGUUGGUCGUGCCACCGGUACGUACUGGUCUCACUGAUUCCUCCUUCCUGAAGAACCGUAAUGCCAUUAAUUUGGUGUUGCGGGGAAACAGGGCUGUUACUUUGAAAAAAUUAGAGUGUUUAAAGCAAGCUAACGCUUGAAUACAUUAGCAUGGAAUAACGAAAUAGGACGAUCGAUCCUAUUUUGUUGGUUUCUAGGAUUGACGUA